UACGAAGGGAGCGAGCGUUGUUCGGAAUCACUGGGCUUAAAGCGUGCGUAGGCGGGUAGGUAAUUCAGAAGUGAAAUCCCUGGGCUUAACCCAGGAAUUGCUUUUGAAACUCCCUGUCUAGAAACCGAGAGAGGUUAGCGGAAUAUCCAGUGUAGAGGUGAAAUUCGCAGAUAUUGGAUGGAACACCAGUGGCGAAGGCGGCUAACUGGCUCGGUAUUGACGCUGAGGCACGAAAGCGUGGGUAGCAAACAGG
Molecule: ribosomal RNA, 253 nt
Filed under: uncultured bacterium
Lineage: Bacteria
Description: partial 16S ribosomal RNA
Rfam family: Bacterial small subunit ribosomal RNA
Source: RNAcentral